UAACUUGAGAGUUUGAUCCUGGCUCAGAACGAACGCUGGCGGCAUGCUUAACACAUGCAAGUCGAACGAGGGCCCGGGGCUUGCCCCGGUUACCCUAGUGGCGGACGGGUGAGUAACGCGUGGGAACCUGCCCUGGAGCGGGGAAUAAUCACUGGAAACGGUGGCUAAUACCGCAUACGCCCUCAGGGGGAAAGGCUUCGGCCACUCUAGGAUGGUCCCGCGUCCGAUUAGCUUGUU
This 237-nucleotide ribosomal RNA is filed under the name Alphaproteobacteria bacterium. RNAcentral describes it as "partial 16S ribosomal RNA". It matches the Rfam family "Bacterial small subunit ribosomal RNA", at positions 1 to 250 of the family's 1533-position model. The record is from RNAcentral. Lineage: Bacteria; Pseudomonadati; Pseudomonadota; Alphaproteobacteria.